This 395-nucleotide unclassified non-coding RNA is filed under the name soil metagenome. RNAcentral describes it as "partial contains 5.8S ribosomal RNA, internal transcribed spacer 2, and large subunit ribosomal RNA". The stretch from base 1 to 122 matches the Rfam family "5.8S ribosomal RNA", at positions 35 to 154 of the family's 154-position model. The record is from RNAcentral.
GAUGAAGAACGUAGCGAAAUGCGAUACUUGGUGUGAAUUGCAGAAUCCCGUGAACCAUCGAGUCUUUGAACGCAAGUUGCGCCCGAAGCCAUCAGGUUGAGGGCACGUCUGCCUGGGCGUCACAUAUCGUUGCCCAAUGCCUAUUGCAGUGCAAUAGGAAUUUCUAGGGCGAAUGAUGGCUUCCCGUGAGCGUUAUUGCCUCGCGGUUGGUUGAAAAUCGAGUCCUUGGUAGGGUGUGCCAUGGUAGAUGGUGGUCGAGUUAGAACGAUACCGAUCAUGUGCAUGCUCCCCAAAAUAUGGCCUCUAUGACCCACACGCGUCUUUUGACGCUCAUGACGAGACCUCAGGUCAGGCGGGGCUACCCGCUGAAUUUAAGCAUAUCAAUAAGCGGAGGA